GCCUCAGUACGGCGAGUGAGCGGCAACAGCUCAAAUUUGAAAUCUGGCCGCAAGGUCCGAGUUGUAAUUUGCAGAGGAUGCUUUUGGCGAGGUGCCUUCCGAGUUCCCUGGAACGGGACGCCAUAGAGGGUGAGAGCCCCGUACGGUUGGACCACCGAGCCUCUGUAAAGCUCCUUCGACGAGUCGAGUAGUUUGGGAAUGCUGCUCUAAAUGGGAGGUGUACGUCUUCUAAAGCUAAAUACCGGCCAGAGACCGAUAGCGCACAAGUAGAGUGAUCGAAAGAUGAAAAGCACUUUGAAAAGAGGGUUAAAAAGUACGUGAAAUUGUUGAAAGGGAAGCGUUUAUGACCAGACUUGGGCUUGGUUGAACAUCCGGCGUUCUCGCCGGUGCACUCUGCCAGUCCAGGCCAGCAUCAGUUUGUCCCGGGGGAUAAAGGCGGUGGGAAUGUGGCUCCCCCGGGAGUGUUAUAGCCCGCCGUGCAAUGCCCUGGGACGGACUGAGGAACGCGCUUCGGCACGGAUGCUGGCGUAAUGGUCAUCAACGACCCGUCUUGACCCACGGGACCA
Molecule: ribosomal RNA, 566 nt
Filed under: Sarocladium oryzae
Lineage: Eukaryota; Fungi; Ascomycota; Sordariomycetes; Hypocreales; Sarocladiaceae
Description: partial 28S ribosomal RNA
Rfam family: Eukaryotic large subunit ribosomal RNA
Source: RNAcentral